Molecule: ribosomal RNA, 845 nt
Filed under: uncultured bacterium
Lineage: Bacteria
Description: bacterial SSU rRNA
Rfam family: Bacterial small subunit ribosomal RNA
Source: RNAcentral
GGCUCAGGAUGAACGCUGGCGGCGUGCCUAAUACAUGCGAGUCGAACGAGGUGCUUUUGUAGCAAUACGAGAGUAUCCUAGUGGCGAACGGGUGAGUAACGCGUUGGUGACCUACCCCAAAGUGUGGGAUAACAGUCCGAAAGGAUUGCUAAUACCGCAUGUGGUCUUCGGAUUUAGAAACUGAUGACUAAAGGAGCAAUUCGCUUUGGGAGGGACCUGCGUCCCAUCAGCUAGUUGGUGAGGUAAUGGCUCACCAAGGCGACGACGGGUAGGGGACCUGAGAGGGUGGCCCCCCACAAUGGAACUGAAACACGGUCCAUACACCUACGGGUGGCAGCAGUAGGGAAUAUUGCUCAAUGGGCGAAAGCCUGAAGCAGCAACGCCGCGUGUGCGAUGAAGGCCUUCGGGUCGUAAAGCACUUUUCUGAGAGAUGAGAAAGGACAGUAUCUCAGGAAUAAGUCUCGGCUAACUACGUGCCAGCAGCCGCGGUAAAACGUAGGAGGCAAGCGUUAUCCGGAUUCACUGGGCGUAAAGCGCGUGCAGGCGGUGCGGUAAGUUGGGCGUGAAAUCUCCCGGCUCAACUGGGAUAGGUCGUCCAAUACUACCGUACUUGAGAGCAGAAGAGGAAAAUGGAAUUCCCGGUGUAGUGGUGAAAUGCGUAGAAAUCGGGAGGAACACCAGUGGCGAAGGCGAUUUUCUGGUCUGUUUCUGACGCUCAGACGCGACAGCUAGGGUAGUAAACGGGAUUAGAGACCCCGGUAAUCCUAGCCGUAAACGAUGUGAACUUGGCGUUGGUGGGUUAAACUCCAUCAGUGCCGUAGCAAACGCGAUAAGUUCACCGCCUG